RNAcentral lists this non-coding RNA (186 nucleotides) under Woeseia sp. Its description in RNAcentral is "6S RNA". It matches the Rfam family "6S / SsrS RNA". From Rfam's summary of the family: E. coli 6S RNA was the first non coding RNA to be sequenced, but its function was unknown until recently. Lineage: Bacteria; Pseudomonadati; Pseudomonadota; Gammaproteobacteria; Woeseiales; Woeseiaceae. The record is from RNAcentral.
CGUCUCCUGCAGUGUUCGAUACCGACCUGGAAACCUUUCGACCCUAAAUUUUUACCUCGGGGUCGUGUACUGUCGGCAUCAUGUGUGCAGAACCGUUUCGGCGGUGAGCCUGUUGAAGCCACGGCUGACCCCACCUGUUGCUCCGGUUCGAGAGCGAAGGUUUGUAACGGCACAGGCGGGAGGCGC